GCGGGUAUAGUUUAGUGGUAAAACCCCUAGCCUUCCAAGCUAACGAUGC
RNAcentral lists this transfer RNA (49 nucleotides) under Zieria veronicea subsp. veronicea. RNAcentral describes it as "partial tRNA-Gly". Lineage: Eukaryota; Viridiplantae; Streptophyta; Magnoliopsida; Sapindales; Rutaceae. The record is from RNAcentral.